GUGAAUCAUCAAAUUUUUGAACGCAAAUUGCACUCUCUGCUGAUAGUAUGCCUGUUUGAGGUUCAGUAUUAAUAAAAAUCUGCAGGUUGCUCUGGUGUUACGUUCCUGAGUUGGGGUCAUCUUAUAACAACACCCUUUCAGGGUAGUUUUAAGAGGCUUAAAAUUCACCUUUUGUGUACAUUUUAGUCGUACAUGAAUUUUUUUUUAUUCGUGU
This 214-nucleotide unclassified non-coding RNA is filed under the name Glomeromycetes sp. RNAcentral's name for it is "partial contains 5.8S ribosomal RNA and internal transcribed spacer 2". The record is from RNAcentral. Lineage: Eukaryota; Fungi; Glomeromycota; Glomeromycetes.